AGACAAUGAGACAAUAAGUCUAUUGGGCUGCAAUCUUCUGGUGACAGAGACACAUAAAGUUGUGUAUCAUCUGCAUAACUGUGAUCAUUAUUGCUAAAGUUCUGUAAU
This is a long non-coding RNA of Melanotaenia boesemani (Boeseman's rainbowfish), 108 nucleotides long. RefSeq lists it as uncharacterized. The transcript has 3 exons. The record is from RefSeq and is a predicted model, not a curated record. NCBI's taxonomy places the organism in Eukaryota, Metazoa, Chordata, Actinopteri, Atheriniformes, Melanotaeniidae.